GGUUGGAUCAUUACAGAAAGGAUUUUCUUAUCCAACAAAUACACCGUGUGAACUCUUAAUGUCUUUUGGCGUGUGCGAGAGAUGACGUGGUAUAUGUCGUCCGCACGUGCCAGACUCUUAAAAAACCCCACAUUUCUAAUUUGUGUCUCUGAUUUUUUGAUUUAAUAACAAAAACAACUUUUGACAACGGAUCUCUUGGCUCUCGCAACGAUGAAGAACGCAGCGAAAUGCGAUAUGUAGUGUGAAUUGCAGAAUUCCGUGAAUCAUCGAAUCUUUGAACGCAACUUGCACUCUCCUUCGGGGGAGUAUGCCUGUUUGAGAAUCAGUUAAUUUUACUCGGUUGUCCUUUCUUUUCUCUCUUCCUCUCGAGGAGGGGGGGAAAGAAAAGACAACUGGAUUUUGGAUUUUUAUACUUUACCGUAUUGGUCCGUAAUUCAAAAGUGUGUGUAGUUUCCGAGAAAGUUGGUGGUAACGGACUCGGACGAUUGGGGGGACAGGCACCUCCAGCUGCUGCAGAAACAGUGUUUUGAAAAUCAAAAUCACCAAAGUAAUGCGAUUCAUGGCGGUUGGCGGCGUGUUUUUCUGUACCUUCUUUCUCCAGUCUCAUCAGCGAAGGAAGCGGCGUUUAUCGCACUUAUCGCGCGGCCCCUUUUCUCCUCACGGAUUUGUGAGGUGGGGGGGUGUGUCGUGCAAUUUUUUAAAGACGGUCUCAAAUCAGGCAGGAGAACCCGCUGAACUUAAGCAUAUCAGUAAGCGGAGGAAAAGAAACUAACAAGGAUUCCCCUAGUAACGGCGAGUGAAGCGGGAACAGCUCAAAUUUGAAAUCUCGCAGCUUUGCUGUGCGAAUUGUAGUUUAAAGAAACGUUUUCAGGGGCGGACUGGGUAUAAGUUCUUUGGAACGAGACAUCAUAGAGGGUGAGAAUCCCGUUCAUGAUCCAGGACCACUAGCCUCAAUUGUGAUACGUUUUCCAAGAGUCGGUUUGUUUGGGAAUGCAGACCAAAAUGGGUGGUAAAUACCAUCUAAAGCUAAAUAUUGGCGAGAGACCGAUAGCGAACAAGUACCGUGAGGGAAAGAUGAAAAGAACUUUGAAAGGAGAGUUAAACAGUACGUGAAAUUGUCAAAAGGGAAGCGCUUGAAACCAGUAUUCUAUGCAAAGUUCAACCGCUCCCAUUUGGGUGUGGCGUAGUCUUUGCAAGGGUCAGCAUCAGUUUGGUUUUCUGGGGUAAAAAGCAGCGGGAAGGUGGCCUGGCCCUUUUGGGUCAGGAGCUUAUAGACCGGCUGUCAUGCCCUGGGCUGGACUGAGGAAAGCAGCGGUAUCUUGAGCCCACGGGCUACAACCACCGCUUAGGAUGCUGACGAAAUGGUUUUAAACGACCCGUCUUGAAACACGGACCAAGGAGUCUAACAUGUGCGCGAGUAUUUGGGUGGCAAACCCUGAUGCGUAAUGAAAGUGAAAAGGUGGGAUCCUCGGUGCACCAUCGACCGGGCCGGAUUUCGAUCCAGGUCUGAGUACGAGCGCAUAUGCUGGGACCCGAAAGAUGGUGAACUAUGCCUGAAUAGGGUGAAGCCAGAGGAAACUCUGGUGGAGGCUCGUAGCGGUUCUGACGUGCAAAUCGAUCGUCGAAUUUGGGUAUAGGGGCGAAAGACUAAUCGAACCAUCUAGUAGCUGGUUCCCUC
Molecule: unclassified non-coding RNA, 1678 nt
Filed under: uncultured fungus
Lineage: Eukaryota; Fungi
Description: sequence contains 18S rRNA gene, ITS1, 5.8S rRNA gene, ITS2, 28S rRNA gene
Rfam family: Eukaryotic large subunit ribosomal RNA (bases 705-1678)
Source: RNAcentral